GUGAGGAAUUUUCCGCAAUGGGCGAAAGCCUGACGGAGCAAUGCCGCGUGAAGGAUGAAGGCCUAUGGGUUGUAAACUUCUUUUCUCAGAAAAGAAUUAUGACGGUAUCUGAGGAAUAAGCAUCGGCUAACUCUGUGCCAGCAGCCGCGGUAAGACAGAGGAUGCAAGCGUUAUCCGGAAUGAUUGGGCGUAAAGCGUCUGUAGGUUGUUUAAAAAGUAUUCUGUCAAAGAUUAGGGCUUAACCCUAGAUAGGCAGAAUAAACUUUUAAGCUAGAGUUUGGUAGAGGCAGAGGGAAUUCCCGGUGGAGCGGUGAAAUGCGUAGAUAUCGGGAGGAACACCAAAGGCGAAGGCACUCUGCUGGGCCAAUACUAACACUGAGAGAGGAAAGCGAGGGGAGCAAAUGGGAUUAGAAACCCUUGUAGUCC
This 426-nucleotide ribosomal RNA is filed under the name uncultured bacterium. RNAcentral's name for it is "partial 16S ribosomal RNA". It matches the Rfam family "Bacterial small subunit ribosomal RNA", at positions 354 to 796 of the family's 1533-position model. The record is from RNAcentral.